Molecule: ribosomal RNA, 253 nt
Filed under: uncultured bacterium
Lineage: Bacteria
Description: partial 16S ribosomal RNA
Rfam family: Bacterial small subunit ribosomal RNA
Source: RNAcentral
UACAGAGGUCUCAAGCGUUGUUCGGAUUCAUUGGGCGUAAAGGGUGCGUAGGUGGCGGGGUAAGUCAGGUGUGAAAUUUCGGAGCUUAACUCCGAAACUGCAUUUGAUACUGCCUUGCUUGAGGACUGGAGAGGAGACUGGAAUUCAUGGUGUAGCAGUGAAAUGCGUAGAGAUCAUGAGGAAGACCAGUGGCGAAGGCGGGUCUCUGGACAGUUCCUGACACUGAGGCACGAAGGCCAGGGGAGCAAACGUG